This 398-nucleotide ribosomal RNA is filed under the name Symploce striata. Its description in RNAcentral is "partial 12S ribosomal RNA". Lineage: Eukaryota; Metazoa; Arthropoda; Insecta; Blattodea; Blattellidae. The record is from RNAcentral.
UAUUAUUUUAGAUGUAAAUUAUUUAAACUUGAGUAGUAGUAGUUAAGGUCUUGAAACUUAAAGAAUUUGGCGGUAUUUUAGUCUAUUUAGAGGAAUCUGUCCCAUAAUCGAUAAUCCACGUUGGACCUUACUUGAUUUAUUUAGUAUGUAUACCGCCGUUGUUGAAGAUCUUUAUAGGGUUUUUUAAUUUUUAUAAUAUUUAUUUUAUAAUUUUUCAGGUCAAGGUGCAGUUUAUAAUCAAGUGGUGAUGGAUUACAAUAUCUUUAGGUAUAUGAAUUUUUACUUUUAAUUUAGUGAAAUGAAGGUGGAUUUAAUAGUAAUUUUAUGAAGAUUGUUAAAGUGAUUAUAGCUCUAAAAUAUGUACACAUCGCCCGUCGCUCUCGUUAAUUUAAGGUGAG